GACGAACGCUGGCGGCGUGCUUAACACAUGCAAGUCGAACGGAAAGGCCCUGCUUUUGUGGGGUGCUCGAGUGGCGAACGGGUGAGUAACACGUGAGUAACCUGCCCUUGACUUUGGGAUAACUUCAGGAAACUGGGGCUAAUACCGGAUAGGAGCUCCUGCUGCAUGGUGGGGGUUGGAAAGUUUCGGCGGUUGGGGAUGGACUCGCGGCUUAUCAGCUUGUUGGGGGGGUAGUGGCUUACCAAGGCUUUGACGGGUAGCCGGCCUGAGAGGGUGACCGGCCACAGUGGGUCUGAGGGACGGCCCAGACUCCUACGGGAGGCAGCAGUGGGGAAUAUUGAACGAUGGGCGGAGGCCUGAUGCAGCAACGCCGCGUGCGGGAUGACGGCCUUCGGGUUGUAAACCGCUUUCGCCUGUGACGAAGCGUGAGUGACGGUAAUGGGUAAAGAAGCACCGGCUAACUACGUGC
Molecule: ribosomal RNA, 469 nt
Filed under: uncultured bacterium
Lineage: Bacteria
Description: partial 16S ribosomal RNA
Rfam family: Bacterial small subunit ribosomal RNA
Source: RNAcentral